GGAGAGAUGGCUGAGUGGUCGAAAGCGGCGGUCUCGAAAACCGUUAAUCCCCCAUCGGGGAUUCUGGGGUUCGAAUCCCCAUCUCUCCG
RNAcentral lists this transfer RNA (89 nucleotides) under Bacteroidales bacterium. RNAcentral's name for it is "tRNA-Ser". It matches the Rfam family "tRNA". From Rfam's summary of the family: Transfer RNA (tRNA) molecules are approximately 80 nucleotides in length. Their secondary structure includes four short double-helical elements and three loops (D, anti-codon, and T loops). The record is from RNAcentral. Lineage: Bacteria; Pseudomonadati; Bacteroidota; Bacteroidia; Bacteroidales.